CUAAAUUGCUAGAGUUUGACAAUUUUGCAUUUGGGUGCAAUUUCAUUUAAUUUGUUGAGUCAUCAAAUUAUACUUUUUCCUUAAUUUCCUCCAUUCCAUUCAUAUCCUUCUUCUUUCACGCUCUUCCAUUCUGCUUUUGAUUAAAAAAAAAGCAUUCUCUAUCUCUCUCCCCCACUCUCUAUCUCUCCACCAUUGAAGUUGCACUCUGAGCCUUCUCUACUCCACCAUUGACGCAAAUUCUGCGGUAAGAUGUUUAUCAAGUUAUGAAAUUAUAAGUUUGAGCUAUUAAAAUGAAAUUAAAUUAAUAUAUAAUCUGCAAUAGCAUAUUUAAAACCUUCCUACUGUCCUGCAUCGCACUAGACGAGGCUCUAAAACUUGCAUUUCAUUAACGCUUUUUUCAAACUUCCAACAUUGCCUGAAUCUCGGUUUUGCUGCUAGCUACAAACCUUACCUCCAUUAACAAUGGCGGAUCCUGAAUUGGAUGCCAUCAGACAAAGAAGAAUGCAGGAGCUGAUGGCACAACGUGGCGGAGGUGGUUCGGGAAGUCAGCAGAACCCUGAACAAUAGAAGGCUCAAGAAGGGGAAAAAUCAAAGCUAAAGAAUGAAGGCAGAUAAUGCUUGCUCAGAUUCUUUCCAGUGAAGCACGCGAAAGACGAUGAUGAUGCUUCUGUCCGAGUUUCGAUCUCUUCUAUUCCGGACGUUGGAGGAAAAGCUAGAGAUUCUGAAGUUUUCUAUGGUUUUAGCAAUGAAAGCAGUAAUUUCAUGAGUAUGUGUUCUUUUUCCUAGCUUCUUAUUUCAAUUCUUUUUAUUUCAUGCCGAUAAAUUCAGUUUCUAUUGAUGAGUUUAUUUUAUAUAUAUUUUAUUCCCCGUCCCACGGUCAUAUUUGUGCUUUUUUGAGCUCUGCGAAGCUAUUUUUAUUAUUAAUAUAUGUUUUCUAGUGUUUUUGUAGAGUUGGUAUUAUUUUGUAGGAAUUUGCAGAAUUAUGUCAAUUCCCGAGCUUAUUGAGCCAUUACAAAGACAUUGGAGUUUGAUCAAAUUUUAUGACCGCAUAUUUUAAGCCUAAGAUCGAGCUAAUUAAAUUUAGUUUGGUGAUUAAGAGCUCGAUACAUGAGAAGGUCCGAGAUUUCACAAGUUACUAUCACAGACCAAUUAAGGAAGGAAAUUGGGCCAAAAGCGAAGGGGCCUGAGCUGGCAAAUCCAAGCAAGUAAGAAAGAGGUUGCUGGGCGUGAAGACUACUGGGCCUGCAAAUUCCUUGGGCUUUACUCUAGUUAAUUCGCUGAUGUGGGUUUCUGACUUCUAGGGGCCUUUGCUCCAAUUUCACGCAACGUUAAUGAUUACCCUUGGAGGAAUUAGAGUUUGACUGGGAAACAAACUCCUUUUCCUUUAAAAGGAUGGAGUUAGUUACGGAUGAGUAGUUUUAAGUUUUAGCUUUUUUGUUACUUUAAUUUUAGUCUUAGUUUUAAUUAUAGUUUUUUUUUCCGUAACUUGCUUUAGUUAGCCUUUUAAUUUGCAUGCUGAGGAUUUUAGUUUAGUAAUUUUAUUCGCUUCGUCAAUUUUGUUCCUUUAUUAGACUUCGUUUUAGUUUAGCUUGAGAUUUCAAUUUACUUGCUUUCUUGUUUUGUUAUUAUUAAAAUUAAUAUGCUUAUUGUUAUUUUCU
This is a long non-coding RNA of Chenopodium quinoa (quinoa), 1658 nucleotides long. RefSeq lists it as uncharacterized. The record is from RefSeq and is a predicted model, not a curated record. NCBI's taxonomy places the organism in Eukaryota, Viridiplantae, Streptophyta, Magnoliopsida, Caryophyllales, Amaranthaceae. The transcript has 6 exons.